UAACCGAUAUUUAGGAAUUCAAUAAUUACUCUCUUUCAGUAUGUUUUAUCAGAAUAUGUAUCUACCAAUGGUUUUAUCUCAAUUAGUUUAACAAUAGUUUUUGUUUUUGUUUUUUUUCAAAUGUAGGCACAGGAAAGUUUAUAUAUUUUAGUGUCUCUGGCAAAAUUUAAAAAGUCACUGUCACACUGGUAAGGAGUAAAGAUUAACGAAACCCGAAACUCAAAAUUGGAUCUCAGACUGAUGCCUCUAUCUAAACAAAACCUGAUUGUCAACAGCGUUCUCACCACAGAGGAUUUACAUUGAUGAGAUAGCACUUUUUUGCUCUGAACAUCGCUGGUAUUCAAACUGUGUCUCAACUCUGACAAAGAUGAGUGUAGUGAAGGUGAAGAAACACCUCAUACUGGAGGAGAAGAUACAGGCGAUCGACAUGAGUGAACAGGGGGCAUCUCAUAUUGCCAUUGCUAAAUACUUUGAUGUGUCAAAGACACAAAUCUCUAACUUAAUGAAAAGAAAAGAAGAGGUUAGAGCAAUUUGGAAUGAUGGCUGUGUCCAUCAGAAGAAAAUUCUAAAACCAUCAUUGAGGCACCCAGAGGUUGAAGAGGUCGUAGUAAAGUGGUUAUUACAAGCGAGGAAAAAUGGCAUUCAUGUGAAGAGAGAAUUUUUGCAGGCUAAAGUUAUUGCUGUGGCCUCUGAAUAUGGAGUUCCGUUUUCUCCCAGCAAUGGCUGGAUACAUAGUUUUAAAAAGCGACAUCAUUUAUAUACUGGAGAGAAUUUAGAUGAGUCUUUGUUCAAUGAUAGUACGGACAUGAAAGUGGAGCGAGAAAAAGAUGGAGACUCGUCUAAAGAUGAUGAGACCUUUAAUUGUUCACAACAUAAUAUCACAAAGAAUGAGCAAAUGCUGUCUGGAUUAAGGAACACAGAAGGGGCAAAGUCCACAGAAAAACUGCCAACCGGUGACUUACGAAAAGGUCUACUGAAAAAAAGGAAAAGAUCUAGUGAACCCGGCAGUGGAUUAGACAAGCAGCAUAAAUCUAGUGAACCCGGCAAUGGAUUAGACAAGCAGCAUAAAUCUAGUGAACCCGGCAAUGGAUUAGACAAGCAGCAUAAAUCUAGUGAACCCGGCAGUGGAUUAGACAAGCAGCAUAAAUCGACGAAGAUAAUGGCAAGGGAUUUACAACAUUUUGCAAUGGGAGGAGCUCAGGCUGAAGGAGAUGAAAGGCCUGCAGCAUUCGAUGUUGAGGACAGUUAUGAGCUGGAAAAUGUGUUUGUUUGUCUUGGUGCAGGACUUUUUUUUAAAGCUCGUCCAAGGCCUGUUUAUCUUCAGAAGAAAAAGCAGUGUGCAGAUGGCCGGCAGGCAGACCAACGCAUCUCAAUGGUACUCAUGUGCAGCGGAGUUGGAGAGAAAUUCUCUCCUCUUAUAGUAGGACGCUGUCAAACUUUAUCCCUCUCACCGGGUCUUUUACCGGUCAAAUUUAUGCCUGAGUAUGCAGCUCACAGUAAAUCAUGGCUCACACAGAGUAUCUUUAAGAACUAUUUGUCUCGACUUAACGAAAAGUUGUCACACGAGGAAAGACACAUAGUGUUACUGUUGCAUCCAGGUGUCCCUGCUUUGGGUACUUCUUAUAGCCACAUCAAGACUUUGCCUAUCAAUAGUUCUUCAGCAGGGAUUUUCUACACAGAUAUUGUUCACCCUCUAAAAGUUUGCUAUCGCAAGAAGUUUCUGAGACACUUACUGAGCUUGAAAUACCAGUCAGUCUCAACUUCUGAUCUUGCCAAGCAGGUGACGGUACUAGAUGCCAUAGUGUGGCUUCGUUCUGCUUGGGAGGGCGUGUCACCGUCUUUUAUCUCCAAGGCUUUCCUUCGAUGUGGCCUGAACGGUGUUCAAUUGGAAGUAACGGAAGGCACAGAAGCACCAGCCCAAGCUUCUGCGGAAGAGGACGGGAAAGCUCUGUUGCCAGAUGGGGUUUCUUUCAACGAUUUUGCAAAAAUAGCUGGCCGACGAAUGAGCUUACGUUCCACAAGUGAAGCCAAAAACAGCAACUUUCCCUUGUGAUAAUUUUGUCACAUACAGUGGAUGGUUGGCUCUGGUGUGGUUUCAAAUACAGUAGUCUCCACCUAAGAUCCGGGUGCUUGGGAGCAAGGAAAAAAUGCAGGAUCUUAGGCGAACCGGGAUCUUAACCGAAUGGCCAGAGGGAAGAAUCCACAGUAACUCAUGAUGAUCAUCUGACCACUUUUGACCCAUCAGAGGGUGAAGGGAGGGAAGGAGAGUCUGUGGUGGAAGCAGAGGAAGAUGUUCC
RNAcentral lists this unclassified non-coding RNA (2297 nucleotides) under Aplysia californica (California sea hare). Its description in RNAcentral is "uncharacterized LOC101860960, transcript variant X1". Lineage: Eukaryota; Metazoa; Mollusca; Gastropoda; Aplysiida; Aplysiidae. The record is from RNAcentral.